CAUAAUAAUGGAGUAGCAGUAGCUUCACGCCAGGAGAAACUGGUGGGCAUGUCUCUCGGCCGCCGCCGGCCAAUCCCGCGCGUUUGCCCGAUGGCGACGUGAGGUCCCUUGCGCUUCCGCCAUCACCACAGCAACCCGUCCGCCGCGGCGCAGCAUUCUCUGGAUGCUUCACUCCGGGGAGGAGUCUCGGCUCGCCGGCUCCGGCCGCGCGUACUGUUUCUUCUCCGGCGGUCGCGGCAGCUGCCUGAUGCAGGUGCGCCUAGCUUCUGGUGACUUUUUCGAUUAGCUCUUGAGCGAGGGCCUCCUUGAAUAUAGGUGGGAUUUGAUACAUGUAUUCAGAUCUGAAGAGUAACCUGCUAAGUGCGACUGAUCUCAAAUUGAAGAUUGCUGAGCGAUGAUGCAACCUUGUUGAUUGGGACCUGGUACCUGGUACUGGUAGUCACAACCAUUUUGAGGGAAGUUAGAGACAGAAGAUUCCUGGACUUUGAUUGGAAACUCUGAAUCGGAAUAUUGCACUUUGUGUGAGUGAAAUACUACUUCUUUUCUGCGGAUUUC
Molecule: long non-coding RNA, 555 nt
Organism: Triticum aestivum (bread wheat)
Lineage: Eukaryota; Viridiplantae; Streptophyta; Magnoliopsida; Poales; Poaceae
Exons: 2
Source: RefSeq, a predicted model, not a curated record